AUUGUUAAAUGCCCUUAUUUUUCAUCCCCUUCAUCUAUAAAUUCAAUUCAUCUUCCGUUGUAACCACUGAUUCCUUCGUAUACCACUACAACUCUAACGGCCCUUACCGUUGUCUACAGAAACCUUCAAAUGUUAAUGUAACCAAUGAUUUCUUCUUAAACGACUUCUAUACUUUAAAUCCUUACCAUAAUCUGCAUAUACCUGUAUAC
This 209-nucleotide long non-coding RNA is filed under the name Capsicum annuum. Its description in RNAcentral is "long non-coding RNA (CANN_LNC021066)". Lineage: Eukaryota; Viridiplantae; Streptophyta; Magnoliopsida; Solanales; Solanaceae. The record is from RNAcentral.